Molecule: ribosomal RNA, 274 nt
Filed under: uncultured bacterium
Lineage: Bacteria
Description: partial 16S ribosomal RNA
Rfam family: Bacterial small subunit ribosomal RNA
Source: RNAcentral
AUACGGAGGGGGUUAGCGUUGUUCGGAAUUACUGGGCGUAAAGCGCACGUAGGCGGACUGGAAAGUUGGGGGUGAAAUCCCGGGGCUCAACCCCGGAACUGCCUCCAAAACUUCCAAUCUAGAGAUCGAGAGAGGUGAGUGGAAUUCCAAGUGUAGAGGUGAAAUUCGUAGAUAUUUGGAGGAACACCAGUGGCGAAGGCGGCUCACUGGCUCGAUACUGACGCUGAGGUGCGAAAGCGUAGGGAGCAAACAGGAUUAGAAACCCUAGUAGUCC